RNAcentral lists this transfer RNA (72 nucleotides) under Gossypium hirsutum (cotton). It matches the Rfam family "tRNA". From Rfam's summary of the family: Transfer RNA (tRNA) molecules are approximately 80 nucleotides in length. Lineage: Eukaryota; Viridiplantae; Streptophyta; Magnoliopsida; Malvales; Malvaceae. The record is from Rfam by way of RNAcentral.
GUCGUUAUAGUAUAGUGGUAAGUAUUCCCUCCUGUCACGUGGAUGACCCGGGUUCGAUCCCCUGUAACUGCG